Molecule: RNA transcript, 2370 nt
Organism: Prunus persica (peach)
Lineage: Eukaryota; Viridiplantae; Streptophyta; Magnoliopsida; Rosales; Rosaceae
Gene name: membrane-bound transcription factor site-2 protease homolog
Exons: 8
Source: RefSeq, a predicted model, not a curated record
UUUGGAGAGGUAAACGAGCGAACAAGAAUGGAGGGUAGGCGAGUGAGAAUGUUCAAUAUGGGAAGAGCAAGAGGACAACACCCACAAACUCAGACCCAUCACAGUCUUCUACCCAUUCACUCCCAUUCAAACCCAUCAUCUCCUUCUCGUCUUUCAACCACCAUCUCUUGUUGCUACUGCGAUUUCAAGUUCUGGGCUUUCAACCAACCCCUCUUCCAUUUCGGGAGAAGCCACUCCCAAAUUCUCAGGGCAUGGUUCUCCAUUGGGGUCGGCUUUGGUCUAACCCUGCUCUUCUCCAUUUCUCUCAUCCUUAUCUGGGAACUCGGCAGAGCUCUCAAUCUCUUCCAUGGAAGCUUCUUCAUUAACUUGUUCUCUAGAUUUUCCUCCUCCUUCAGCACCUCAAUCGCCGACGUUGCCUGUAUCUUCAUUGCCACAAUGGUUUCAGUUUCUGUUCAUGAACUGGGUCAUGCUCUCGCUGCUGCAAGUGAGUGCGUGCAAAUGGAGUAUGUUGCCGUGUUUGUUGCGUUUCUGUUUCCUGGUGCGCUGGUAGCUUUCGAUUCUGAGUCUCUGCAACCAUUGUCUUGUUUUGCUGCUCUUCGGAUUUAUUGUGCUGGAAUUUGGCACAACGCAGUGUGCUGUGCAGUUUGUGGGCUGGCAUUACUUCUCCUGCCCUUCAUCUUGUUUCCAUUCUACAUACAUGGUGAAAGUCCCAUGGUUUUGGGUGUACCAUCUACGUCGCCUUUGUCCGGUUACUUGUCUCCUGGCGAUGUAAUUGUGUCAGUUGAUGGUGUGCCCAUCCAUAAUGUCCAGGAAUGGAUGGAGAUGACAGCUCUGAUAAAUGAAUUGGCACUUAGAGGUAGAAACCAUUCCCUAGAUGUCCAAGGCUUUGGAAUCAAUAGAAUAAAGGGGUACUGUGUGCCUAACUCUAUGAUGGAGGAAAGUAAGCAGAUUGUUAUAGGAGAUAACCAGUCUUCUUGUCCUGAUGAUCUUACUGCAUUUACACCUCUUCCCUGUGAUCAUACAAGCAUAUUAGAUCAUAAUCAUCCAAGCAGAAUUGAGAAAACCCACUGCUUGAAUGCGAAGAAUGUUGUCAAGCUUAAUAAAUGUGGUGAAGGAUGGGCGGCAAUAACCAAUGGCAGCAACUGCAUAUGUUCACAGGAGGAGUCCUGCUUAAGUCCAGUUCAAAUUCCAGGCUUAAUAUGGGUUGAGAUCACCUAUUCAAGGCCCUAUUAUCUGGAAUGCUUGCGAGUUAGAAGAAAAUCUUUUGUGGGUCCAAGAAUUUCUGAUUCCAUGGAAUCUAACUGCGGUGGGACUUUUGUCUUUGUUGGUGAUGUUAUCUCCAUGGCACGCUCAGUUAAGUUAACUGCAUAUCAACCUCGCUGGGCAUUUCCAUUGGGUACAUAUCUUCCAAAUGUACUAGAAAGGAUUUUGAUAUGCACAUUCCAAGUCUCUCUAACACUAGCUCUUCUCAACAGUUUGCCGGUGUACUUUCUGGAUGGAGAAUCAAUUUUAGAGGCGACUCUUUCCCACUUCGCUUUGCUGUGCCCAAGGAAGAGAAGGAAAGUUCUUCAAGUUUGCCUUUUAUGGGGGACACUCAUUUCCAUCCUCGCCUUCUUCAGGAUCAUGUUACAUACUUUGUAAGCGAAAGGGGCAAUUUAUGCUCUUUCGUCUGAGGCUCCUCAGGAUUUGAAACAGAUAUUAGAUUCUUUCAAGGACUUUUCUAAUGGAUGCUGCAGUGGGCUUGCAAUUCUGAUUGGGUCAGUGUCAUAUGUCAUAUGCAUUCUUGCGCUAACACAUUUUUGGGGGGACUUGCACCAAGUAUACUUCAGCUUUGAAUUGACCUUUGCUCCUAGACAAAGCAGCCUCACUACGAAGCUCACUGUUUAGCAGGUAUUGUGCAUUAUUGUUGUACAACGUAAAACACUUUUUAUCCGACGUCACUCGCUCUUUAGAGUCAUUACCUAGAAAGCAGUGGUAUUACAGCUGAGCUUCAGAAUAUGAGAAGCAGUGUUAUCGAAGCUGACCUUGCAGUAUGAAUAGGGAGGAGCGUCAAACCAUCAGCUGCCUCGGUAUUCCACUACCAGAAACUAUAGUUACACAACCUAAGUUUAACCUUGUUGACAUAGAAAUCCAUAAAUUAUCUAGUGUGAAAGAUAGGGGUACUCAGAGAAUUUUACUUGUUUAACCUCCUUGGGGGUUCCUCCAUAGAAUGAGAAAUACUUGGUACUUUUUCCAUUUUAUCUGAGAACAACCCAGUUUGUAGCUUACGUUCAAUAUGCGUUCACAGAUUUUGUAAAACAAAGUAUUGAGCUUUUGUUUUUUUGGUUCUGGAACAGUUACUAGAAUGAAGAACCCUGAACUUGAACAAUA